CCUGGCGACCUUAGCGCGUGGGAACCACUCGAUCCCAUCCCGAACUCGUCCGUGAAACCACGCAGCGCCUAUGAUCGUAUGAGAGUACUCAUGCUAAAGUCGGUCAUCGCCAGGC
RNAcentral lists this ribosomal RNA (115 nucleotides) under Candidatus Competibacteraceae bacterium. Lineage: Bacteria; Pseudomonadati; Pseudomonadota; Gammaproteobacteria; Candidatus Competibacteraceae. The record is from RNAcentral.